This 2722-nucleotide long non-coding RNA is filed under the name Sus scrofa (pig). RNAcentral describes it as "lncRNA (ENSSSCG00025065480.1)". Lineage: Eukaryota; Metazoa; Chordata; Mammalia; Artiodactyla; Suidae. The record is from RNAcentral.
CGCAUCUGGAAGGCAGCUAGGCUGCCUGACAGAUGAGAGGCUGCAGGAAGGUCCGGGGGAGGUGACUGCGUCGACAAAGCCUGGGGGGCUGGCGUGUGCGGGCCAGAUGUUUGGCGGUGGCCCGGAGCCCUCCCCCAGACAGGGAGGCCAGUGGGGCCUCAACCCAGGGGCCUGGGGGAGCCUUGGGCCCGAUGGACCGGCCCUGGGACCAGCACAUUCUCUUCCUCUGCUUGGUCUGCAGGCCUUUGGAAGCAGAAGAGAAUGUCAGCGUCUCCUUAGUCGUUUUGAGGACAGGGAUUAAGAAACUGGGUACCCGAGGUAGGGGUUUUGACCCCUGGGCUUUGUCCCAAGAGGUAGCAGAGGAGUCACACGGAGCAGUGGGUGCAGCACAGGGGGUCCCACCCAGGGAGCAGGAAUCCCAGCCCUGCAGUCGGCAGAGGUGCUAGAAGGUCGUAAAAGUGCUUUGCGGGAUGGGGGUGAGCCGAGCAAACGCACUCCUCUAGACCAGGUGGUCUUCUAGCUUUAGCUGAGUCACCAUCCCUAGAAGCUUCUUGGACACCCCGCCCUCCGGGAGUGGCGGGCACAGGCUCAGAGCCGGCACCUUAUCAGCACCAGGACCAGCCAGGAGCAUCGCAGCCAAAGGCCGUCUCCAUCCGAGUGUUGCUUGUUUUUGAGCCCGGAGUCUCUUCCUUGGGGACAGACCCCUCUCAGCCCUCGACACCUGCUGUGUGUUUCGCACUUACAGCCUUUCAGGCUGGACCGGCCGCAUUUUGACGGCCCAGCGGCCGUCUGCCUGAGAUGUGGUACAGAUACACAAUGGAAUAUUACUCAGCCAUAAAAAGAAUGAAAUAAUGCCAUUUGCAGCAACAUGGAUGCAGCUAGAGAGUCUCAUACUAAACGAAAUUAAGUUGGAAAAGAGAAAGACAAAUACCUUACAAGAUCACUUAUAUGUGGAAUCUAAAAUAUGGCACAAAUGAACCUGUCUACAGCACAGAAACAAACUCGUGGUUGCCAAGGAGGAGGGGGAGGGAGUGGGGUGGACGGGAGUCUGGGGUGGCGGAUGCCAGCUGGUACAUUCAGAAGGGAUCAGCAGUGAGGUCUUGCUCGUUGCUGCUUUUCCGAAGCAGGGAAGAUGCACAAGUCCUGGGAACUGUCCCAGGGUUCCCGUCUCGGGACAGGUCACUGCAUGGAUGCCUGAGCUGGAAACGGGCCCACAGCCCAGAUUCCUGGACCUCCUUCUUCUGAGUGACUCCCUCUCCGAUCUCAGCGGUCCUACCCCCCGAUGACCUCAUGGAUCCUGCAUGACCCCACGCAAGCCUCCGGGCCCUCCAGGCCCUGCUGGGGACUGGGCUUCCCGCCGCGCCCUCGACCCCACCCCUGCCAUUCCCUUUGCACUCAGGGAGCAGAGACGUCCUUCCAAAAAGGGAACCAUUCCUCUGCUGGAACCUUCUGGUAGCUCCCUGUGGUCUUCCGGUUAAGUCCCAACUCUGGGUGGCCUCGUUCCCCCACCACCUGUGACCACUCCACACCUCAGGCAGCAAAGGCCACUCAGGCCAUCAGUCAAGAGCCAUGUCCACGUCUGUCCAGAGACACACCCUCCACGGCCGCAGCCACAGUGACCGGGCGGCCAGAUUCACUCAGGGCAGAAAGCACUCCGCAGCAAAGGGCCGGCGGCCCCUUGGGGUUCUGGUUAAAGGCAGGUUGGAUCCAGGCUCACAAAAUCCAUCAACAGCACAGAAGAGCGCUCGCUCGGAAGACAGGAAGGCAGAUGACUGUGAGGAUAAAGAGAGAGAGAGAGGCGUCAGUUGCAGCCACACUUUGGAAGACGCAGCCACGGGCGCAGAGUAAUUGACUUGACAGAUGUAGGAAGCUCGUUGCUAAAUCUGAGCGAGAAAGGGGAAGCCCAGGGUGCACCCCAGAACCCCCAAAGCCUGGCGAAGGGCAGCCCCAUGUGCCGUUGGACGUGGGGGUCAAAGACCGUCCUUGGAAAGCUGUUUAAGAAGAGGUCAAACUCUUCCCCGCCGCCCCCCAUUUCCUCCUCUGCUCUGCACAGCAGGCGACUGCCUGGCCCACGGGCGGAGAGAAAACCAGACAUUUUUCCCUCGGGAGAUGUUUAAGCUGCAGGUCCCUGGACCCAAGGGCACUGAACACAACAAGCGAAAGCUCAAAUGGCCAUUUUGGAGCGCUUCCCGCAGGCGGUGAGCUGAGUCCCGCAGGAGGGGCUGGCCCUGGACGGAUGAGGAGGGAGGCGGGAGGGAUGAGUCCUGGCAGAGCAGGGGCCAGAGGGCCGGUGGUGAAGGAGGUGGGCUCGGCGGUGGCAGGGAGCGGGGGAUGGUCUGGGGCAGGCAGGAAGGAGGAGGCUCGAAGUGGGCUCUGCCACCACCCUGGGGCUCGGAUGCGGGCAGAAAGAUCCUUCUGGGUUCAUGGAAACUACGGAAACGGGGCUUUAAGAUCUUUUUGCAACUGAACGUCUAGGCCGAGGUCUGGAGAAGCUGGUGGCAGGGAACCCAGGAGAAUGCCUUUGACGAUGACCAAAGGCUGGGACGGGUGGGAAGGAAGUGAGAAGAACGCCGCAAACCCAGCGGGCGAAAGCUUAUCUAUUCUCGUGACUCUGCUCACUGGCUCGCCUAGGACACCGCCACAGAGAUUUUUGGCAGGUAAGAAUGUUAGAUUUAUGAUGGCGAAGUCCCAGCUCUUUGAAUUAUUUGAAGGAAUCCCAGCC